CUGUACUGAUGAAAAUCUACCCAGUUCUGCUUCUGAAGUGUCAUUGAAGAUACCCUUCUUACCAUUUUCUGAACC
Molecule: small nucleolar RNA, 75 nt
Filed under: Fonticula alba
Lineage: Eukaryota; Rotosphaerida; Fonticulaceae
Source: RNAcentral